CAGUCGCCACGGUAAUACGUAGGUGGCAAGCGUUGUCCGGAAUUAUUGGGCGUAAAGGGCUCGCAGGCGGUUUCUUAAGUCUGAUGUGAAAGCCCCCGGCUCAACCGGGGAGGGUCAUUGGAAACUGGAAACUUGAGUGCAGAAGAGGAGAGUGGAAUUCCACGUGUAGCGGUGAAAUGCGUAGAGAUGUGGAGGAACACCAGUGGCGAAGGCGACUCUCUGGUCUGUAACUGACGCUGAGGAGCGAAAGCGUGGAGAGCGAGCAGGAUUAGAUACCCCCGUAGUCCCUGUCUCUUAUACA
RNAcentral lists this ribosomal RNA (301 nucleotides) under uncultured bacterium. Its description in RNAcentral is "partial 16S ribosomal RNA". It matches the Rfam family "Bacterial small subunit ribosomal RNA", at positions 509 to 808 of the family's 1533-position model. The record is from RNAcentral.